GGACCUGAUUGAAACUUAGCUGAAUUGGUUUUAUUAGACCUGAAACUAAACCAAAUUAAAUUUAUUAAUGUAAAGAGAACGCACCCUAAGUAAUUUGACAUCUCACUAAUUAACUAAUUUUAUCAAUUGAAACACUCAUUUGUUUUAACUAAUAGCUGCAUUUAACAACCCAGUUUUUUUUAUUUAUUGAUAUUAUACUUUGAGAUAAUAUCACUACAUAUCACUUGGUCUAAUAAUUAAUACUUAAUACUUUAGUAUAAAACCUUAAAUAAAUCGUGAAAUAAUUCAAUAGAUUCGUAUAGAAGUAUAAUCUAUAAAUAUUGCCGAAUUUUUUUAAAAAUUGUUCCAAAAAAAAAAAGUCACCUUAAAAUUAGGGAGAAUUCAGUUUCUUAUGCUUCCUUCCGAUUAUCUUUACCUAAUCACAAUGUCAAAACACAAAUUAGAAAACAUCAGGAACCCUUGUUUAAACCCUAAUCUGGUUCUCUACAUUCUACCAGUCUACUGCUUUGCGUCUCUUUCUCUGUGCUUCCAUUGCUCCCUGAGCUUUGACUAAUUAGUUUUUCCGUCGAUUGUAUUUUCAUAAUUGCAACAAUGGCAGUAGUCAAUACUCAAUUAUCACUUAAUUGUGUCAACGACCCUUUCUUCUUCUUCGUCUUCCUUAUUCUCCCCCUCCAAUUUUAAUUCUUCCAGAGCUCAUAUUGUUUAUGGUAGAGUAAAAAAUGCAGGGGUUUGCAAAUGUGUUGCAACUCCAUCUGCUGAACACACUGGUCUCACGAAAUUCGAAUAUGGCUAUGCUUCAAGCUGGUUAUCUCUUCCCCGAGAUUGCCAAAAGAAGAGCAGCACACUUGGUAAAAUAUCCAGAUGCUCAAGUGAUAAGCCUUGGAAUUGGUGACACUACUGAGCCUAUACCUGACAUUAUAACAUCUAUGGCUAAGAAAGUAAGAUAUGCAAUUGCUUCAUCGUUUUAUGGAAGCCUCGACAUUGAAGAAGGUGAUAUAUUUGUCUCGCCGGAGCUAAGUGUGACAUCACGACUUCAGAUGCUUUUUGGAUCAGAUAUAUCAAUAGCUGUUCAAGACCCAUCUUAUCCGAGAAUGGAGAGGUUCUCUGUUACCCAGACUCGGCAAAUUUUUCCAUAUACCGGUGUUGGUACGACACGACACCAACACCGGUACGAAAUACGUGUCGGAUCCGGUAAAGUUCCCUCGGACACGGCGACUCUAAACCCUAGAUUCUCUAACCCUAGAGUUCGAAGAGGAGAAGAGAAGAAAAGAAGAAGAGGAGAAAAGGAAAAGGCGAUAACUCACCUUGACUCAGCGACCAGAGCUUCAAACUCGCCACCGGAGGUUCAAACUCGUCGGUAUGUUUACUGCUGUAUCCUUUCUUCACUUUUCUCUUCUUCUCUCUCUUCGAACUUCUCGCCUCACCUAGUCACCUUCUCUUUGUUUUUCUUUUCCUUUUCCUUUAUGAGUCCACGUGACUCCUUUACUUUUCUUUUUCUUUCUCUCCUUCUUCUGUUCUGUUUUCACGUGACAUUUCUUCUUUUACUUUUCUUUUUUCUUUUUAUUUUUCUUUCUCUCUUUUCAAUUCCUUCCUUGGUUCUGUUUUUUUUAAAAAUCAUUUUUGUUCUUCUUAGCCUAUGGCUAGGUUGUUAUUCUUUUUGUUUUUAAACAAAUACCUUAAUUUUAUUAGUAUAUUACAAACAGACAUUUAUAAAAUCUGAAUUACCAGAUUAAUUAUUGAAUUUUAUAUUAUAGAAUAUUAAUUUUGCCAUACCCGUACCCGUGUCCAAAAUCCGGACAGUGUCCCCGUGUCCUGAUUUUUUGGAAGUGUCGUACCCGACACUCGGAUCCGUACCCAAACUCGACACUCCUAGGCGAGUCCGGGUAACAUAGGAGAGGUUAUUUCCUUGUGAAAAAUUAAUUGGCAAAUCCCAACUAUGACCCAUCCGCUUUUAAUGAUUCAAACUAUGGAUUAUUUCAAAAUAAUCUUCACUAUUGUAUGCCAAAAAUGCUCUAGAGUGACUUGUUACUCGUUAAGGAGAGAAAGGAGGGAGAGUAAACCUGAGUCAAAAGUUUUAAAAAAUCAGUGAAGUUUCAAUUGUAAACUUACCUUGCCUUUAAUUGCAUUUAUGUUCAUCAUUUUGAACCGUGAGUAAGAAACCCUAAAUUUGGAAAAAACUCGUAAUUCAAGAUUUGGUGACAAUUGAUGGCUGUCAACACUUACUGGAGGUCACAUAGGGUGCCUAGGAGCCAUCCACCAUCAGUCCCGACCCAUCUUUUGCAGUCGAGCAAUCUUCUUUAUCUUUCUCUUCUUUGAUCUUCUCUUUUUCUACGACUUUCAUCUCUCCUGCUUUCACUUCUCUUCCCCUAUCUUCUCUUCUUCGUUCUUCUUUUCUUCUUUUGCUUAUCUUUGAGACUUUGAUACGGCUAAGCCCGGUACUCACUCAUCUAUUAUCUACACAUAUGCAAGAAGGAAGAGAGGAAGGAAGGGUCCAGACGUCUUCACACAUGGAGGGACACAUGUCAACAUAGGAGUGAAAGAAGGCAACAUAGGAGUGGAGGAGGAAUAGCAUAAUUCCUGACAUCAUAACAGAAAUUAGUUAUGAGUAAUAGAGAGAGAAAGGCAUGUGUGUAAAUAUAUAAAUAGGGGCCUCGCCCAAAGAGGGAAGUAUCCAGAAAUUAGAAUGGAGAGUGAUUUAAUGGCAGAGAACCUUGCCUCUCGAAAGUAAGGGGUGUUAGGAGGAGAUUCUUAAAUCUUGCUUAAUACAAAACUAUCCUACUAUUGUGCUAUUUUUUAUUGUAUUUUUCUACUGUUUGCCUAGUUGAGAUCCCCUAAAUCUUAGCAUUUGGUAUCAGAAAGAAUUAUGGCGAUAGAAAACAUGGUGGCAACCCAUUCCCAGCGGAUCGAGCAAGUGUAGCAAGGAAUUUCGCUAAGUGAGGAGGUAGCUACAGCGGGUUCUCGAGCACUCGAGACGCUACAGCAAACACUCGCUGCUCGUAUCGCCACUAACAGCAAACACUCGCUGCUCGUAUCGCCACUAACCUCGAGUCGGCCACUAAGCAACUUUGGCAAAGAGGCGCCUCGAGUUAUAAAACCGAGGAGACCGGAGAGAUGACGAUGGCGAGAAAGGCAGGGGAGAUCACUCACCUCGCGAAGUGGAGGAGCUACCAAUGAGGGAGAGGUGGAAGGGAACAUCGCUUGGAGGAGUUUGAAGAUGAGGUUGGGUACCUUAGUGGGUUUUGCGGUGGUGGAAGUUGGAGGGCCAAAAAAUUGGAUCUACCCAUUUUUUGGGGGGAUAAUCCUGAUGGGUGGUUCAUGCAUGCGGAGCAAUUCUUCCAAUUUUACCGGUUAACGGAGGAAGAGCAAGUUGCAACUGCGGUGGUUUCCAUCGAUGGGGACGCUUUAUUGUGGUAUCAAUGGGAGAAUUGUCGCCGACCGAUCUCCCGGUGGUCGGAGAUGAAGGUUAUGAUAUUGCGCCAGUUUCGGAUCCCUCCAAGAGAAGUGGCUCAGCCUUUAGCACGAGGGUGGGGUGGAGUAGUGGAGUAUAUUAGGAGGUUUAUUGAAUUGUUAGCCCCGUUAGAAGGCAUACCAGAAACUAUAGACCAUGCCUAAUUUGUAAGUAAGCUGAAAGAAGACAUCAAGAAUGAGCUUAGAAUUAUUGGGCCUAAAUCUUUGGCACAUACCAUGGAUUUAGGCGUUCAAAUUGAAGCCAAACUCAACUACUAUCCGAAGAAAAGGUGGGAGGAGUGACGCUCCUACACCACUGGCCCAACCCACUCUUAUAGCCUAACCAAUCACCCACAAAAAUCCACCUACUCAUGUCUCAUCACAACCAGCGUGUAGCCUCACUCCACUUCACUACAUACUCAAACCAACCAUCUAGAUCCACCAACAACCACAUACCCAUAGCCUAACCUGUCGAAGAGAUAAGAAGACUCAAUGAUGAGUUACAAUACAAACUUGACAAGGGUUUAUGUUUUAGGUGUGAUGAAAAAUGGACGGUAGGGCCUAAAUGCAAAAAAAAAAAAAGAAGUUAAGUGUGUUAUUGGGCCAAAAUGGUACGCAAUGGACCCGAAACGGUCGUAAAAGUUCUUAUGUCCGUUCAAAGUCAAGGAAGUCCUUAAUAUACCAUCCAAUGUCCCUUCAAGGCAUCCCAGACGUCUAAAAUCGUGACUUAUACAACCUUUAAUUUUGACAAUUUUAGGGCUCCUCCGGGCCUGGUCAUAUUUUUCACCCAGAACCUUCAUAUAGGGUGCGACACGACUUAUAAUGCAUCCCAGGUGCUUCCCACCAACUGAAUUGCCCAAAAAUGCCAUCAAACCACCCAUUUAUGAUUUUGUCGUGCAGCCACGGAAUGACUCCGAAACAGUUGUAAAAGCUGUUAUUAUUCCCGUUCAAAGUCGUAGGAGUCCUUCAUAUACCAUCCAAUGUCCCCUCGAGGCAUCCCACGACAUUCGGUGCACGGGUCCCGUAGAUGUCUAAAAACGUGACUUAUACAGCCUUUAAAUUUGACCGUUUUAGGUCUCCUCCGGGCCCGGUCAUAUUUUUCGCCGAAAACCUUCCUAUGAGGUGCGACACGACUUAUAAUGCAUAUCGGGUGCUUCCCACCAACUGAAUUACCCCAAAAUGCCAUCAAACCAGCAAUUUAUGAUUUUGUUGUGCAACCACGGAAUAACCCCGAAACGAUCUUAAAAGCUGUUCUUGUGCCCGUUCAAAGUCAGGCGAGUCCUUAAUAUACCAUCCAAUGUCCCCUCGAGCCAUCCCUCGCCAUUCUGUGCACUGGUCCCGUAGAUGCUUAAAAGUGUGACUUAUAGCCUUCAAUUUUUACCGUUUUAGGGCUCAUUCGGGCCCGCUUAUUUUUUUUCACCGAAAACCUUCCUAUGGGGUGCGGCAUGACUUUUAAUGCAUACCGGGUGCUUCCCACCAACUGAAUUGCCCCAAAAUAUCAUCAAACCACCCAUUUAUGAUUUUGUCGUGGAGUCAUAGAAUGACCAUGAGACGUUCGUAAAAGUUGUUCUUAUUCCCGUUCAAAGUCGUGAGAGUGCGUAAUAUACCACUCCAUGUCUCUUUGAGGCAUCCCACGAUAUUCGGUGCACGGAUCCCGUGGACGUUUAAAAGCGUUACUUAUAGCCUUUAAAUUUGACCGUUUUAGGUCUCUUUCGGGUCCGGUCAUAUUUUUCGCCGAAAACCUUCCUUUGGGGCGCGACACGACUUAUAAUGCAUACCGGGUGCUUGCCACCAACUGAAUUGCCCCAAAAUGCCAUCAAACCACCCAUUUAUGAUUUUGUCGUGCAGCCACGAAAUUACCCCGAAAUAGUCUUAAAAGUUGUUCUUGUCCCCGUUCAAAGUCGUGGGAGUCCUUAAUAUACUAUCCAAUGUCCCCUCGAGGCAUCCCAUGACAUUCGGUGUACGGGUCCCGUAGAUGUCUAAAAGUGUGACUUAUAGCCUUCAAUUUUGACUGUUCUAGAGCUCCUCCGGGCUCGCUUAUUUGUUUUACUCAGGACUUUCCUAUAGGGUGCAGCACGACUUAUAAUGCAUCCCGGGUGCUUCCCACCAAUUGAAUUGCCCCAAAAUGUCAUCAAACCACCAAUUUAUGAUUUUGUCGUGCAGUCAUAGAAUGACCAUGAAACAUUCGUAAAAUUUCUUAUUCCCGUUCAAAGUCAUGGGAGUGCUUAAUAUACCACCCCAUGUCCCUUUAAGGCAUCCCACAACAUUCGGUGCACGGGUCACGUGGACGUUUAAAAGCGUGACUUAUAGCCUUUAAAUUUGACCGUUUUAUGUCUUCUCCGGGCCCAGUCAUAUUUUUCGCCAAAAACCUUCCUUUGGGGUGCGACACAACUUAUAAUGCUUCCCACCAACUGAAUUGCCCCAAAAUGACGUCAAAUCACCAAUUUAUGAUUUUGUUGUGCAGCCACGAAAUAACCCCGAAACGAUCUUAAAAGUUGUUCUUGUGCCCGUUCAAAGUCGUUGGACUCUUUAAUAUAUCAUCCAAUGUCCCCUCGAGGCAUCCCACGACAUUCAGUGCACGGGUCCCGUAGAGGUUUAAAAGCGUGACUUAUCGCCUUCAAUUUUGACCGUUUUAGGGCUCCUUCGGGCCUAAUAAUAUUUUUCUCCGAAAACCUUCCUAUUGGGUGCGGCACGACUUAUAAUGCAUACCGGGUGCUUCCCACCAACUGAAUAUCCCCAAAAUGCCAUCAGAACACCAAUUUAUGGUUUUGUCGUGCAGCCACAUAAUAACCUGAAACGGUCUUAAAAGUUGUUCUUGUGUCCGUUCAAAGUUGUGGGAGUUCUUAAUAUUCCAUCCCUUGUCCCCUUGAGGCAUCUCACGAUAUUGUGCAGAGGUCCCGUAGAUGUCUAAAAGCGUGACUUAUAGCCUUUAAUUUUGACCGUUUUAAAUCUCGUCUAGGCCCGAUCAUAUUUUUCACUCAGAACUUUCCUAUAGGGUGCCGAACGACUUAGAAUGCAUCCCGGGUGCUUCCCACCAACUGAAUUGCCCAAAAUGCCAUCAAACCACCCAUUUAUGAUUUUGUCGUGCAGCCACAGAAUAACCCCGAAACGUUCGUAAAAGUUGUUUUUAUUCCCGUUCAAUGUCGUGGGAGUCCUAAAUAUAUCAUCCCAUGUCCUUUUGAGGUAUCCCACGACAUUCGGUGCACGGGUCCCGUGGACGUCUAAAAGCGUGACUUAUAGUCUUUAAAUCUGACUGUUUUAGGUCUCCUCCGAGCACGGUUAUAUUUUUCGCCAAAAACCUUCCUAUGGGGUGCGGCUCGAUUUAUAAUGCAUCUCGGGUGAUUUCCACCAUCUAAAUUGUCCCAGAAUGUCAUCAAACCACCCAUUUAUGAUUUUGUCGUGUACCCACGGAAUGACCUCGAAACGAUCGUAAAAGUUGUUCUUGUUCCCGUUUAAAGCUGUGGAAGUCCUUAAUAUACCAUCCCAUGUCCCCUCGAGGUAUCCCAUGAAAUUUAGUACAUAGUCCCAUAGAUGUCUAAAAGCGUGACGUAUAACCUUCAAUUUUGACCGUUUUGGAGUACCUAUGGACCCGGUCAUAUUUUUUCACUCAGAACUCUCCUACAGGGUGCGACACGGCUUAUAAAACAUCCUGGGUGCUUCUCACCAUCUGAAUUGCCCUAGAAUGUCAUCAAACCACUUAUUUAUGAUUUUGUCGUGCAUCCACGGAAUGAACCCUAAACGGUCGUAGAAGUUGUUUUUUUUCCCGUUCAAAGCCGUGGGAGUCCUUAAUAUACCGCCACAUGUCCCCUCGAUGCAUCCCAUGACAUUCGUUUCACGGGUCUCGUGGACGUCUAAAAGCGUGAUUUAGGUCAAUCUAGAAGUUGUCCUUUAAUUUUGACCGUUUUAAGUCUCCUCCGGGUCAGGUCAUAUUUUUCGCAGGAAACCUUCAUUUGGGAUGCGACACAACUUAUAAUGCAUCUCGGGUGCGUCCCACUAUAUAAAUUGCCCCAAAAUGGCAUCAAAUCUGCCAUUUAUGAUUUUGUCGCUCAUCUACAGAAUGUCCCCGAAACAAUUGUAAAAGUUGUUGUCCCCCUUUCAAAGUCGUGGGAGUCAUUAAUAUACCAUCUCAUGUCUCUUCGAGGCAUCACACGACAUUUAGUGCACGGCUCCGUGGACGUCUCAGAGCGUGACUUAUAGCCUUUAAUUUUGACUGUUUCAAAAUUCCUCCGGGUCGGGUCAUGUUUUUCGCCGAAUUGCCCUAGAAUGCUAUCAAACUAUCAAUUUAUGAUUUGGUCGUGCAGUCACGGAAUGACCCCUAAACGAUCGCGAAAGUUGUUCUUUUUCUUGUUCAAAGCCGUAGCAGUCCUUAAUAUAUCAUUCCAUGUCACCUCGAGGCAUCCCACGACAUUCGGUGCAGAGGUCCCGUAGACGUCUAAAAGCGUAACUUAUAGGCUUCAAUUUUGAUCAUUUUAGGGCCCCUUCGGGACUGGCUAUUUUUUUCGUCGAAAACCUUCUUAGGGGGUGCAACACGACUUUUAAUCCAUCCCGAGUGUUUCCCACCAUCUGAAUUGCCCCUGAAUUACAUUAAACCACCAAUUUAUGAUUUUGUCAUGCAGCCAAUGAAUGACCCCGAAACAAUCGGAAAAGCUGUUCUUACGCCCGUUUAAACUUGUGGGAGUCCUUAAUAUACCAUCCCAUGUUCCUCUCGAGGCAUCCCACGACAUUCGGUGCACGGGUCCCGUGGACAUCUUAAAGCGUGACUUUCAAUUUUGACCGUUUAAGGGCUCCUCCGGACACGAUCAUAUUUUUCGCCGAAAAUCUUCCCAUGGGGUGCGGCUCGACUUACUUAUAAUGCAUCUCGGGUCCAUCUGAAUUGUCCCAAAAUGCCAUCAAACCACACAUUUAUUAUUUUGUCAUGCAGACGAAAUGACCCCGAAACGUUCGUAAAAACUAUUUUUGUGCCCGUUCAAAGUUGUGGGAGUCCUUAAUAUAUCAUCCCAUGUCCCCUUGAUGCAUCCCACGAUAUUCAAUGCACUGGUCCCGUGGAUGUCUAAUUAUAUCAUUCAAUUUUGACCGUUUUAGGACUUCUCCGGGCCCGGUCAUAUUUUUCGCAAAAAACCUUCCUAUAGGAUGCGGCACGACUUAUAAUGCAUCCCGGGUGCUUCCCACCAUCUGAAUUGUCCAAAAAUGUCAUCAAACCACCCAUUUAUUUUUGUUGUGCAGCCACGGAAUGACGUGGAAACGGUCGUAAAAGCUGUUCUUGUGCCCGUUCAAAGCCGUAGGAGUCCUUAAUAUACCAUAAUAUGUCCCAUCGAGGCAUCUCACGACAUUUGGUGCACGGGUUAUGUGGACAUCUAAAAGCAUGAUUUAUAGCCUUAAAUUUUGACCGUUCUAGGGCUCCUCCGGACACGAUCAUAUUUUUCGCCGAAAAUCUUACUAUUGGGUGCGGAUCGGCUUAUAAUGAAUCUCGGAUGCUUCCCACCAUCUGAAUUGCCCUAGAAUGCCAUCAAAACAUCUAUUUAUGAUUUUGUUGUGCAGCCACGAAAUGACCCCGAAACAGUCGUAAAUGUUGUUAUUGUGUCCGUUCAAAGCCGUGGGAGUCCUUAAUAUACCUUCCAUGUCCCCUCGAGACUUUACAGGACAUUCGGUUCAUAGGUCCCGUGGACGUCUAAAAGCGUGACUUAUAGGCUUCAAUUUUGACUGUUCUAGGGCUCCUCUGGCCCCGGUCAUAUUUUUCGCCAAGAACCUUCCUAUGAGGUGCGACACGACUUAUAAUGUAUCCCGGUUGCUUCCCACCAUCUGAAUUGCCCAGAUGGUCAUCAAACCACCCAUUUAUUAUUUUGUCGUGCAACCAUCGAAUCUGGAAGGUUCUUUUUGGGCUGCAGGCGUAUGUAGACUUGAGUUGUUACAAUGGGACAGACAGGACAAUAUCAGGAUUGUUUGAAGAAGUAUGGUUAGAUUGAGUACAUGAAGUGUAUUCCUGAGAAUGGCUUCUUUCCUGCUGUUCGCUAGACAGAGCUGAUUUUCUUUUGCUCACCAAACAAUCCUACUGGUGCUGCUGCAACAAGAGAGCAACUAACGGAAUUGGUGCAAUUUGCUAAGGACAAUGGGUCAAUUAUUGUCUAUGAUUCUGCAUAUGCUAUGUAUAUUUCAGAUGACAGCCCACGCUCAAUAUUUGAAAUUCCUGGAGCCAAGGAGGUUGCUAUUGAGACCGCCUCCUUUUCUAAGUAUGCUGGAUUCACCGGUGUUCGUCUUGGCUGGACUGUCGGGCCAAAAGCGCUAACUUGAAGGAUCAUGGCCAUCUUGCCUUGUUUGUCGAAGAAUUUGAAUAAUGAUGUGCAUAUUUUCUUUCUGCUUUAUGCUUCUUUUUUGCUUCUUCCAUUAUUUUUUUUUCUUUUAUCAAGCUUCCAACACAUUCUAUUUUCAAAUGUUAUUGGCAGGGUCAGAAUUUGAGUUCGUCCAGAACUUGUUUAUGCCCCAUGUACUAUCAGCUUGAAAAUAUGUUGUAAAUUACUUCUUAUAUUAUCAGCUUGAAAUAUGUUGUAAAUUACUUCUUACAUUAUCAGCUUGAAAUAUGUUGUAAAUAACUUCAUCUUCAACCCUCCAAAAGGUUUCUACAAAUGUGAAUUAAUUUUGUUAAGUUGGAUCUUGCAAAGAAGUCUAUAAAUAUUGAUUAGUGGCAUUAAA
This is an RNA transcript of Beta vulgaris subsp. vulgaris (sugar beet), 10134 nucleotides long. It is a transcript of the gene named LL-diaminopimelate aminotransferase, chloroplastic-like, with no coding region annotated. The record is from RefSeq and is a predicted model, not a curated record. The transcript has 8 exons. NCBI's taxonomy places the organism in Eukaryota, Viridiplantae, Streptophyta, Magnoliopsida, Caryophyllales, Amaranthaceae.